GUGAGUGAUGAAGCUAGAGUGACCCUGGGGACAAGGGGCAACGGUUUAAAAAUGGAAGGGACGGAGGAAAGAGGCAGUGAAGAGACAAAGUGAACACGUGGUACACUGUAGAUGUGGAUUAAUAAACAUUGCUUUAAAUAUGUCUAAAUAAAAAAAGCUUAAAAUUGUAGCCACCAGCUGGAUGUGGUGGUGCAUGCCUGUAAUUCUAACACUCAGGAGGCUGAGGCAGGAGGAUUGCCGACACGAGGGUCAGCCUGAACUGCAUAUCGAGACCCAGUCUCAAAAAAACAACCAAAAGUAGCCAGCGCUUCCCAUCCCACCCCCAGAGCACCAGGCCCUGUCAGUGCACACUCACCAGACCCACCCGCCACCCCAGCUUCCUCACCACACAGCGGCCAAAGCGGCUAGACUUGGCCCCAUCACUGGAAACACUGUAGAUGUAGAUGGUGUUGUCAUGGGAGCCAAUGGCCAGAACCAACCACCUGGCAGGGAAAGGAGGUGGCAAGAAGCAAAAUGCACCCCAACCUCCAUGGAGCCCCUGGGCAGAGUGGGGAAUGGCAAACCAGAAAGCCUCAGGCUGUGAUGCCAGAACUCUGAGAGGCUGAGGCAGGAGGUGGCAAGUUUGAGUCCAACCUGGGCAACUUAGCGAAAGAGCAAGACCUUGUCUCAAAAUUUAAAAGGGUCUGGGGCCGGGUAGCUGUAAUCUCAGCACUCGGGAGGCUGAGGCAGUAAGGUAAGUACAAGUUUGAGCCUAGGGCUACAGUGAGUUUAAGACCAGCCUGAACUACAUAGAGAUCCUGUCUCAAAAAAUAAAUUAAUAGAUAAAUGGGCUGCAGAUGUACCUCAGUGCAAAACCCUGGGGUUCAAUCCCCAGCACUGCAGAAAAAGGGGAAAAACCCAAGGUUGUCAGGUAGAAGAGAGGUCACCACCACACUUUAAGGCUGGGAAAUGAGCAGAUCAAAGUGAGGGGCUUCUGGAGCCGUCUGGGAAAGAAGCAGGAAACACAGACCAGGCCUGUGUGGGGCACUCGGUGCCACAUUCCUCCUCAGCUCCCCGGCCCACCUCGUCCCUCCUGGGAGCCCAAAGCCCUCACCUGCCAGUGUUCAGCCCCACAGCCACGACCGCCCCGCUCGGGUGGAAGUCAGCACAGAGACCAGUCUCCUGCCAGGGAAGGAGGGUUAGGGGGUCAAGGUGCCUUCCAGAGAGGGAGUGAGGACGGCACUGGUCCCAACCCUUCAGAGCCUCCUGAGGUGGGGGACGGGAGAUUGGGUCCCUAGAGCCUCAGCAGCUUGCCAGGGGGAGUGUCCCCCAGCAACAGGCACAGCACAAAGAGUUCCUGAGCACCGAGCAGUGGACAGCAAGGCAGCUUGGCUGGAGGGACCCUGGCUCUACCUUGAGGUCCAGGCUCCAGGCCAGCGCGUGGCCCUCCCCAUCCCACAGGCAGAGCUGCCGGUCGUGGCCGCAGCACCCCACCCGCCAGCUCCGGUGCCAACCUGGAUGACCGCGGAGAACCCCUGAGCCAGGUCUCCUCUCAGGAGAGCGUUCUUCGUGGUCCCCACCAGCAGCUCGGCACCCGGCCCCUCUGCGAUGGCCCGCACAGCUCCGAAGUGCUCCGGGAU
Heterocephalus glaber (naked mole-rat) is the source of this 1619-nucleotide long non-coding RNA. Lineage: Eukaryota; Metazoa; Chordata; Mammalia; Rodentia; Bathyergidae. The record is from Ensembl.